This is a long non-coding RNA of Heterocephalus glaber (naked mole-rat), 355 nucleotides long. NCBI's taxonomy places the organism in Eukaryota, Metazoa, Chordata, Mammalia, Rodentia, Bathyergidae. The record is from Ensembl.
CACCCUCAACACUGUCACUCUGGGCACUGAGCCUGUAGCACAUGAACUUCAGGGGACAGUUGUAUCCCAGUUGAGUUUCGCAACCAUGAUGUGGGCAUUCAGGGAAGAGGCAGGGAAGCAGCAGCUGCCAGCCUCAGGAACACAGGAGGGAUAGAAACUUCAAGAACACAGCACACGGGAGCAGAGAGGAGCAAAGAGGGCUACAAGACACCUCACAGAGCUCCAUUCAUCCUCAUCCAACUUGGCCCUCAGGCUCAGGAGUGAGCUGCACACACUUCUAACUCCUUUGAGAUGCUGCCUUUCUAGGCAGGAAGAGAGGGCACAAUUUUGGCUGGGUCAUUCAGCCAGAUUUCAU